RNAcentral lists this long non-coding RNA (534 nucleotides) under Triticum aestivum (bread wheat). RNAcentral's name for it is "long non-coding RNA (TAES_LNC013893)". The record is from RNAcentral. Lineage: Eukaryota; Viridiplantae; Streptophyta; Magnoliopsida; Poales; Poaceae.
UACUCACAAGAGAAAAAAUAUCACAAAAUUAGAUGGACUAAAAUUCUUAUUCCAUAUUCAGCUUGCUCAAGAUAAUGUGUACAUCAUUUUCUAUGUUAUUCAUGGAAUGGGGGAACUGGGGUGCAACAACAUUUCAUUUCAUCUCCCGGUGCUAAUGAGCAGUAAGCUGAAUAAGGAUCAAGACCAUAUUCUUUGCACAUAUUCUUGCAUCCGGUGAUUGUGCAAUCCUCAAUUUUAUUACACUGUAUGUCGUGCUCUCCAACUACAAAAAAUAUAACCAUUAUUUAGAACACACAAGUUGAACUACAUUUAUGUAUGUAUGUAUCCAAAAAUAAAUAAAUAUGUAUGUAUACAUACAUACAUACAUAAUGUAUAUAGACCUGCUGUUUAAAAAAGAUUAAUCAGAAAGGGAAGAGCUUACAUGCAUCACAUGAUGAGAAAACAUUGGAGAAAAUCAUAAGACCCAUGAAUACAAGGGCCAUGGAGUGUACAACCCUCAGCUUGUUCUUGGGAAGUGCCAUCACAAGGAAACUG